GCGAAAUGAACUAGGCGCGGCCAAAAGGAGCCCCAUCCAUCUAUCACACGUGUAGACAAAGGGGGACUCCACAACACAAAGCUAGAUGUUCCCUCUCAAACUUUUUUCCACGACGCACGGCGGCGCGCACAGAAGCAAGCCACCCCCCAGGCAGAUUUUAACACCUGAUAAACCAGCAAGGCGUGGGAGGUUACGGAAAUAAAAAUAUGUGGAAAUCACAUGGAAGAUGUACAGAGUCAACUAUCAAGCAGCUUUUAAGACGCAGAGGAGGAUUAAGAGACUGUGCAGUUUUCUUUUUGGAGAAGGUGAAGACUCAUCUCAUAAGGAUUUAAACAGCAGCAGCAGCAGUGCCAGGCGGGAUGCGUUUUAGGCACACUUGGAAAUCUAAAACUCAUGGAGACACUUUGAGGAUUAUAAAAAUGUGUAGUGUGUCUCUCCACAAGACAUGUCCCAACCCUAAAGUCACAGGGAAUAGCAGGAUAUUACAUUUCUGAUCCUCCUUGGCCCCUCAGCAUAGCCCCUUAUCAAUGAUGUCAUUGAGAGCCAAUGGGAGCACGCAAUGGUACUUGUCAGCAUCCAAGCUCCACCUCCAGCCUCUUUGUGCAUGGCAGCCCACAUGGUCCUGCAGCAUCACAUUUUCACCAUGCUGUUACUCUGCUGCAGAGAGAGGCAGGGAUACAGAGAUGUUGCUCUCGGCUGUGUGCUGUGAUGUUAAUCUACCAUGUCUGCUCAGGAAAAAAAGCUUGUUUAUCACUGUAAGCAUAUGCAUGGAACAACAUGGGGCUGUCAUUUUUUGUUUACAUAAAUGAUGAGCCAUAAAAAAGAUUACAUUUAUUGAAAAUAAAUAUAUAUGAUAUUUAAAAGUUUCUAGUGGAAAAAAAAACAUACGGGCUAAGUGAGUGUAUGUUAUCUACCUGCGCUUGUUAACAGCAGAGCUUUAAGACUUCAGGAACAUUUACCCACCUCCUCCUGCUCUUGUGGAACAGGUUCAGGUCACAGACUGGAAAUCAUUGGAUCAGUGGGAAUGUGGGUCAGUCAACACUGUGACACACAGGUGGGACAGAUAUAGGUCAGUGGUAGAGUAUGGGUGCUGAUGAGUCAUGCAUCUAUAAUUAGCAGGUGCAAGGCAGAGAGGGAAAAAAGGUUUGGUCACUUAUUGAAAUGUGGAGGGAGAAUGUGUGAAGUGCAUCUCAUCUUGACCAUCCACUGCACACACAAAGAUUUUACUCAUUUCAACUGCAAGCUUGGCAGUUUUAUAUGAGAAUGAUAGUUUACGACUUUAGCUCUUUCAUUUAAUGUGUAAGAUCUGAGUUCAUUUCAUCUGAGUUCAUUAGUAGUGCUACACCUCUUCUGCUCUACUAUUCACCUAUGAUACUGUGGAUUACAAGUGUGCAGAUUCAAUUCAGCACCCAGUUAAUGAACUUGUGAGUAAGACAGAAACAUCAGGUUUAGCAUAACUAAUCAUUGUAACAGGCCGAGCACUGAGCUCUUAAUAGGCAUCGCACAGGCAUGGUUUCUGCUACAAUACAGUAUGCUCCACUGUGUGUAGCUUAAUUACAUUGCUUAUCUGUAAUGCUAUUAUCAAGUACAGUGCAGUUUUCAUAACAUUUGCCAUUUGGAGGGCAGUUUAUGAGAGUCUACUUUUUUUUCUUUGUAUAGAUGUCCCAGUGAGAGUAGAGCUUCUAAACCUAAUCCACUGAGUUUCAGGGGGACAACAUUUAGCUCAGCAAUCUGUGGCAUCUUCCAGCUCUGAAGUCUCAAUAUCCUUCUAAGCUGGAAUGCUCAUUAAAAUGGGCAAUGGCUUCAUACCAUCGCUUUCUCUGCAGCAUAUGUGCAACUAAAUCUGUGUCACUAUAAUCUUUCAUCCAUCUGUAUUUCGCUAUUACACUAACAUAAAGUACCUCAUCCUGUUUCUGGUGAAGUCUGACGAGAACCACAAAGCAUAUUGCUGUGUGGGAGCUAAGUAGUGUACCUUACUGGGUCAAUGACACCAAUUCUACAGAUAUAGUUGUGUUUAAAUGUGCAUCAUUCUUACCCAGUUUUAUUACUUGUAUGCACAACAUGUCUGUGAGCUGGACUGAUGUUAUGCAAAGUGCAUUAGACUAGAAUACAACAUUAGGCCUAGAAUAACUAAUCACUAGCAUAAGCCUAAUUCUCUCAGACAUCCUGUGGUCAGCCUCUGGGAAACCAUCGGGUUUAGUUUUACCACUCAUUGCAUGUAGCUUGUGGGCAUUGCAGCUUGUAGGCCGUCAUAGAAAUCACUAUAAUACAUUUAUGUGUACACUUAGACCAGUUAUGGUCCUCUCUGUUUUUGUAGCAUUUGAUACUUAGAAACACUGUUUACCCACUUUUGUGUAUGUUAACACUAUGCCUUGCUAAAGUCAUACUAUUUUUGCACUCAGAAAUGUAAUAUUUGAUGCACUGAUACAAGUGCUGACAGACGGAUAAAUAAUUUUUUAACUGGAACAAAGAGGAACAGCCGCUCAAACAGAUUUUGCACAUGUUAUGUACAACAGUAUGUGCCUUGACAAAAAAGAGAGAUAGAUUAAAUUGUUGAAGAUGAGCAAAUGCUCAAAUGCUGCAGCAAUAAUGAUUUUGUUAAAUUUUUCCCUACCAGCUGACGUUGGGUUCAUGUUCCCUUUGUGCGUAUCAGUGAGUCAUACAGGACGCUAUGCCGUGGGUACAGUAUAGUAAAAUACAGUGCAGUAAAACAUUAGGCACACCAUUACUAAUUGUGACGACAGUCCUAAUUCUCCGAGCUACAGGCAUUCUGUGGUCAUCCUGUUGCAAACUAUCAGAGCUUAGUUUUACCACUUGGCGCCUGUAGCCGCGAGAUAAGUUAACGUGCUCUGCUGGCAUGCUAAUACAUACCCGCACUGGGGGGGGGGCAAGAAUAAAUUAUUUCUCUCUGACUGCACAUGAGGCAAAGCAUUUGAAGGAGGGGAGGGAGAGAUAGAGAGAGCACAUAGGGAGAUGAAGCAAGGGGAAAGAGAAGUGGGGGUAAAUGAUGGGUAGGAAAAAGAGGAGGAAAAGAGAGAGAGCAAGACAGGAGAUAUAGUGAAACAGAUUGAGACAAAAGGGGAGGAGAGUGAGAGAGAGAGAUGAAAAGGACAAGAAUGAGACUAAUAGGAAGCUUUAUAGUAGUCUUUAUAUCUGCCUCUCUUCAGUUUCUAGUAAUUCUCUCACCCUGUCAGAGUGGAGUAGUCAUUUUAUGUCUGACUGUUACUGGAUUUAUGAAAAAACACAGACUUCCAGAGCUUCCUUAUUCUUUACAGCCAAUAAGAAAGAUGACUGAAAGGCUUUUCCCAGAUAGGUAAUAUUUGAAGCUAUGAGGUCAGAAACAACACACUGUUUGCACUGGCUAAUAAUUACUGCACAGAUUUAUUUAUUUUUACUGCUGUGUCCUUAAAACCAGUCAGCCUGCAUCCUCCAUCAUAUGACCUUUUGAGGGAUUUUGGCCUAGUUUGAAAUACCCAAAUCAUCCAGUAGAAAUUGCUAGCGGAAAUGUUAAAAAAUGUUGCAAUCUGAAACACGCUAGUAUUGCUUUUAGUGUGGCAAAGCAAUGACGCAGGGACAAUUUUUUUUAAUGGCGAGAGGGAGGGAAAGGAAGACCUGACUUUGUGAUGUAGAUUGCUAUUUAGUUAUCUUAUGUUUGAGUUUAAAUGCUAAUGUCUGGUUUUGUGCUACACUGUGUGCUUAUACUUUUCUGCCUGCUGCACAUUUGCCCUAUGGGAUUUCAGAAGAGUCAAAACUAAACCGCAGACAGUAGCAUGACAAAUCAAUCGCAAAACACAUAACUGUAAGCGCCAAAUCAAAAUUCACUGGAUGAGAGCUCACAUGGUGUGUUGAACAGCAGGUCUAACUGCCCCCGAAGACAUUGCCUUCUGCUCCUCCAUCGUCUUAGCCAAGGUAUAGAUAUAGGGACACAAUUUCCAAUAACAGCUUUAGCCAGUUGUCUGUCUGUCUAUUACAGGUCAACUUAUUACCUCCAUAAAUGCACAGCAUGUUGCUGUCUGGGGAUGGACUGAUAAUCCCUCUAAAGACUGGGGUUUUAUCAAAGCUAAAUCUGCUCCUCACACAAACACAGACACAGACACACAGACACACACAGGGACAGGCAUGCAUCAGCAAUACUCACAUGGCAACACACAGUCACACAGAGUAACUACACACAGACUUUUCUGGUAGACAGACAGACAGAUAUACAUGUAAAGACUAGGAUUUUAUCACAGAUAAAUCUGUUAUUGUCUGCUAGUUAGGAGAUUAUGCAGCAGUGUGUCAUUAGAGGAUGCACACUGGCUUGCGUACUGAGGGCAUAGUGCAGUUAAGUGAUAUCAGCACUUGGGAGCUUUAACAAUGUGAUUGACUGUGGUCAGUGUCAGUACAUCAUUUUAGUGACUGCUUUUAUCGUAUGCAUUUAUUUGUGUUGUUUUGUUGCACUUCAAAUACAUCUUCUUUCACCCUCAGCUGCAGUAUAGUCCAGUAUAGAGCAGUCUUUUUCUUAAUGGUGUUUAGGUUCUGUUUUGCAUUUUCACUGUUAAUAGAGGUGUAAGCAGACAUGUUUUUGUUUUUUGUUUUUUUUUAUAUAUUACAUCUAACAGCUCUGGCUGCUUUUAGUGCUAGAAAUCACCUCAACCAGAAUUUCUUCCAUGCCGCCCUGUUUCAGUUACCAUCAGUUUCUAUCAGUUUCCACCUCUGAAUUUUGAUAAUAAUGAGUGGCAAAUGAUCCAUAACAGCAAUUUAGAACAUAGCCAGAGCACAUAUCACAAACUCAUUUUUCAUGGCAUUUACCAUAAGUCUAAAAGUAUCCAUUUGAGAAUCAAUUGAGCCAAUUCAGAUACAUGACCAGUCAUUGAAUGUUGCAAAUGCAGGGCCUGUGUCUGUUUUUUUUAAGUCCAUAAUCAAUAGUUUUGGGGAAAUCUGUCAUGUUUGUUACUGAACAUCUGCCAUAAAUUUACCAGUUUGGUAGUCAGAAGCAAGGAGCAAUGACCCAGCGAGUGGAGCAAUGAUCCAGUUAAAUGUAAGAUAGGUCCCUGUUGUGCCUGAGUGAAGAAGAGAAUUCACUGUCAUGUAUUGUAUUGUAUAGCCUAAUUAGACCACAAUGAAUGAAGAAGAGCCAGUCUUCUGCUCCAGGUUAUAGACAGCAAAGUUGUCAGUGAUGGAUACCUCAGAGGAGUGUAAGGCCACUGAUUAGUGAAUGGUUGACUGGUGGACUGUCCUUGGUGCUAGAAACUCAGUUCAGCUCAAGUUUGAGCACACACUACUGUACAUCAAGAUUCACGUAGUGGGAGAGUUAGGAUGGCAACCAGACUUGCACACAUGCACUGUUUCCAUGCUAACUCCAUGUAUUGGAGGCAGCUCUUCCUUCUACAAAUAAACAAAUCUACACUCACUCUGUAUCACAUUUUCAUGUUUCCCUCCAUAUAAUCAUUCUGUCAGCCAGAAAGUAAUGUUUCUCUUCAUUUGUUAGUAACCUGCUUUAACUGUCAGUCACAACCCAGUUAACUACUAAGUAAAGCCUCUGCCAGUCAUAGUCUGCAAACUGAAAGGAGAAUUAAAGCCUGCAGUUUUGUUUGAAGCUGGCACCUUCUGAUUUCCCGAGAACUUGUAAUAUUUUGACAGUAAUUAUUUGAAAACAUAUACUUUGCAAAACAAAAAAAGAUCACAGUGAAAUAGCAAAUAUUUCAUAAAAUGAUAAAAGCACAGGAGAAUGUCUGAGAAUCUAUGCUGAUGUAAAACCAUAAGGGAAUUCACUAAAUGAGCAAAAACUCCAAUCCUGUUGCCCUGGAAGUGUCACUUUAGAGUUUUUUUUUUUUGUUUUGUUUUUUUUAAAGAUGAUACAAUAGAAUCACAUAGUUUUUUUGUCUUUACUUAUUUGAUAAUCUCACACAUGGUGAAUUCCUUUUCCUGCUAACAGCUUGUAUUCUACUUUGAAACUUAAGAUAUAAAAUUAAAUAUAAAACGGGUGUAUUGUACUGUCCUAUUAGCACAAUGCUAAUCUGUAAUGUGGCCAUUUGAGGGCUCAGAGUUAUUUUCUUGGUGCUACUGCAAUGAAUUGUAAUCUUGUUCAGAUAUAGCUGUCAGAUUAGAAUUGGGAGACAUAUCAGUAUUAAACAGGCAGUAUUUUGACUUAAAAUAAUAUCUUUGUGUGUGUGUUUAUGUGAAAGCUUGCUGCAGUUGGGACAGCGAUAGUUGAGCGGGCUAAUCCAAAAUAUUAUCACGUGUCAUAUCUUUUCUUUGCUGUGUAACACCUUGUCAGGGCUGCGUACUAUGGUUGACUAGUGCUGAAUCAGAUCUGUUUUGAUGGAGAUAUCUUUAAGCUUAGUUGGAUGUGGUGUGAUAAGUCAGAUUAUAACCUGCAACACUAGCUGAGAUAUCAGACUUUAAACUGCCACAGUCUCUGCCUUUGUGGAUACAACACACCCCUUUCUUCCUCAGUGUAUGCCUGCAAACAAUUUGGAUUUUUUUUUUUUUUUUUAAUAACGAGAUUACAGUGUGGGAUGAAGAUCUGUGCAUCCUCUGGCUCAUUGCUGUGUCAGCCCAUUGGAGAGAUAGCAGAUCACAUGUAGACAUUUAGUGAUAGCAGGCCUACCCAACAACAUGGCUGCUGGACCAGGAUUUAUUUGGAUAUGUUCAUAUCUACUGCUUAACAACCACAUUCUUCAUUGUACUUCUGUUGAUUCUAAUCUUCAUAUAGUCUAAUAAAAGGUUUAUAUAGGCUACAUACGUAGGUGUACACAGUACACCUAUGCUUUUGUUAUGAAAGUUAUGAUGGUUUAACAUAAGUGGUUUCAAAAUGAUUUCUUUAAGAGGCUAGACGAAUAUGAGCUCAACUGACACACCGAGUCUAUUUAUGUAAGCAUGUUUUUGUAUGCAUAUGUGUAUAAGCAUCUAUCCAUCCCCUCUUUUAUACAUCUAUCCACAUAUUUGUUUCACAUUGCCAGUGUACACAUUGCUGACACCAUGUUAAAUAUAAUUAUGUAUGAUGGUGUAAUAGCAUGCUGCAACAUGACUCAAAAUUUAUCAGUGAUUGCCUAACUCUUUGUUUUUCAUGAUCUGCCUCAGAGAUCAUUCAUGUCCAGGAAUCUCUGUGCAUGGGCGUGCCAUUUAUAGCCUUGUGAUGGUUAAUGUAAAAAGUUGGGUUUACUGGAGGCAGAUUAUGCCUCAGAGUAUGAAAGCCUUCCUGUAAGAGUGUCUGUGCUGACACGAUUUUCCAGUCCAGUGCAAGACAUAAUCUGAGUGCCUGGAAAUGGGAUGAAUAAACCCAAGUAAAUGCCCCACUCUCAAUAAUGUAGUAGCUCCAUGCAAAACACAGUCUCUGUGCUGGUUACAUUUGGAUACAAGCCCAAUUCCCUAUAAAACAUGGCAUCACAGACAACAGUUAAGUAGUAGUUUACAUUUAAUAUGAGAGCCUUUUAAAAUAAUGGGCACACUUAUUUAAAUGAAUAUGUAUAUUUUAGCAUAUGCCAGGCUAACUACAUUGUUAUUUUCACCUGCAGUAAUCCCCCAUUAAUGUGCAUUUGUAUAAGGUCAAAAAAGCCAAAUUGCAACUUAAAACUAAGGCUUUUAUAGACAAUAUAAAAGAUCUAGUGAAGAAUAAAGGCUGACAUAUUUCAUUUCAGGACUUUUUUUAUAUGAGGUCAAUGUGUAAUCUCUGGUGGGAAUGUGGUUGAAUAAGGCCAAGUCAUGCCCUGCUCUUAUUAUUAUGCAUCUCAUUACUAUGCGUCAGCCGUUAGCUAUUCUGUCCUGUGCUGCGUUGCCAGUGCCAGUUCACAAGGUCAAAUUCAUGGUACUUGUAAAUGUCCUUGCUGAAUAAAAUUAGAUUGUGACUCAAAA
Long non-coding RNA from Lates calcarifer (barramundi perch), 7836 nucleotides. RefSeq lists it as uncharacterized. Lineage: Eukaryota; Metazoa; Chordata; Actinopteri; Centropomidae. The transcript has 3 exons. The record is from RefSeq and is a predicted model, not a curated record.